RNAcentral lists this ribosomal RNA (331 nucleotides) under uncultured eukaryote. Its description in RNAcentral is "partial 18S ribosomal RNA". It matches the Rfam family "Eukaryotic small subunit ribosomal RNA", at positions 1470 to 1796 of the family's 1831-position model. The record is from RNAcentral.
CCCUUAGAUGUUCUGGGCCGCACGCACGCUACACUGUUCGACGCAGCGAGUCUUAACCUUGACCGAAAGGUUUGGGUAAUCUUCAGCAAAGUCGAACGUGAUGGGGAUCGAUCAUUGCAAUUAUUGAUCGUGAACGAGGAAUUCCUAGUAAGUGCAAGUCAUCAGCUUGCGCUGAUUACGUCCCUGCCCUUUGUACACACCGCCCGUCGCUACUACCGAUUGAAUGGUUUAGUGAGAUCUCUGGAUUGACGCUGGCUAGGGGGCGACCCUUGGCCAGACUGUUGAGAAACUGCUCAAACUUGAUCAUUUAGAGGAAGUAAAAGUCGUAACA